This 460-nucleotide ribosomal RNA is filed under the name uncultured bacterium. RNAcentral's name for it is "partial 16S ribosomal RNA". It matches the Rfam family "Bacterial small subunit ribosomal RNA", at positions 338 to 795 of the family's 1533-position model. The record is from RNAcentral.
CCUCCUUUCUUCCGCCGUGCGGAAUAUUGGUCAAUGGGCGAGAGCCUGAACCAGCCAAGUCGCGUGAGGGAAGACGGUCCUAUGGAUUGUAAACCUCUUUUGUCGGGGAGCAAAAAGGCCUCGUGAGGCCACAAGUGAGAGUACCCGAAGAAAAAGCAUCGGCUAACUCCGUGCCAGCAGCCGCGGUAAUACGGAGGAUGCGAGCGUUAUCCGGAUUUAUUGGGUUUAAAGGGUGCGCAGGCGGUCUGUUAAGUCAGCGGUCAAAGCCCGGGGCUCAACCCCGGCCCGCCGUUGAAACUGGCAGUCUCGAGUUGGAGAGAAGUAUGCGGAAUGCGCGGUGUAGCGGUGAAAUGCAUAGAUAUCGCGCAGAACUCCGAUUGCGAAGGCAGCAUGCCGGCUCCACACUGACGCUGAGGCACGAAAGCGUGGGUAUCGAACAGGAUUAGAUACCCUUGUAGUC